GUGGUGUUGAAGGUGAGAUUUUUUUAAGGGGAGCCUUUGUAAUUGUUUGCUCUCUGAGCCUAAGAUGGCAAUAGUGGGCACAGGCCCACUAAGAACAGUGACGAAAGUAACUUUAUAAACUCAGACUACACGACAAUUAAGACCCAAACUGGAAUUAGAUACCCCACUAUGCUUAAUUGUAAACCCAGGUAAUUAAAUAACAAAAUUACUCGCCAGAGAACUACGUGCCACAGCCCAAAACUCAAAGGACUUGGCGGUGCUUUAUAUCCAUCUAGAGGAGCCUGUCCUGUAAUCGAUAAACCCCGAUAUACCUCACCAUCCCUUGCUAAUUCAGCCUAUAUACCGCCAUCUUCAGCAAACCCUAAAAAGGACGACAAGUAAGCUCAAUCAUCCUACAUAAAAAAGUUAGGUCAAGGUGUAGCCUAUGGGGUGGGAAGUUAUGGGCUACAUUUUCUAGUCCAGAAUACAACGCCAACUCACAUGAAACUAUGAGUCUAAGGAGGAUUUAGCAGUAAGUCGGAAAUAGAGAGUCCGACUGAAUUAGGCCAUAAAGCACGCACACACCGCCCGUCACCCUCCUCAACUACUACUAAUCACAACUACAUAAUUACCCAUAUACACACAAGAGGAGAUAAGUCGUAACAAGGUAAGUGUACUGGAAAGUGCACUUGGAAUAAAACCAAA
Molecule: non-coding RNA, 684 nt
Filed under: Tupaia belangeri chinensis (Chinese tree shrew)
Lineage: Eukaryota; Metazoa; Chordata; Mammalia; Scandentia; Tupaiidae
Description: Tupaia chinensis (Chinese tree shrew) Bacterial small subunit ribosomal RNA
Rfam family: Bacterial small subunit ribosomal RNA
Source: Rfam by way of RNAcentral